UAACAGGUGAAAUGCUUGGCUUUUAAUCCGUUCAAUGAGUAGGUUGUGGCUGCAGGUUCAACUGAUAAAAUGCUCAACCUAUCUGACCUUCGUGACAAUAUCGGCAAUAGCAAAAUGAGUUACAUCUCACAAUAGUAAAGAUGGCAAGGUUAACACACACUAUAUACGAUUGGAUCUGGCAAGGUCAUAGGCAGGGCUUGCGUGGAAGAUCGGGUACUUUUCGAGGGAGCUUAAGAAAGUGGAGAAGAACAAUGGACAGGUUCUCUAGAUGGACGCUUUUCUGGAUUUUAAUAGCAUACUUACUAUGUGUUUAGGUACUUGCUAUGUGUUAGAUUUUAAUAGCAUGUUCCUUAGUGAUGCUUAGGUGGAAUGUAUGUGGCGUACAAACUGGCACACCUUGUCUU
Papaver somniferum (opium poppy) is the source of this 404-nucleotide long non-coding RNA. RefSeq lists it as uncharacterized. The record is from RefSeq and is a predicted model, not a curated record. Lineage: Eukaryota; Viridiplantae; Streptophyta; Magnoliopsida; Ranunculales; Papaveraceae. The transcript is spliced from 4 exons.